GGCCGGUUAGCUCAGUUGGUUAGAGCGUGGUGCUAAUAUCGCUUCAAUGGUCGGAACGCCAAGGUCAAGGGUUCGACCCCCUUACGGGCCA
Mycena floridula is the source of this 91-nucleotide non-coding RNA. NCBI's taxonomy places the organism in Eukaryota, Fungi, Basidiomycota, Agaricomycetes, Agaricales, Mycenaceae. The record is from the annotation of a GenBank genome assembly.